UACGUAGGGACCGAGCGUUGUCCGGAUUCAUUGGGCGUAAAGAGCUCGUAGGCGGCUACUCAAGUCGGACGUGAAAACUCGGAGCUCAACUCCGAGCCUGCGUUCGAUACUGGAUGGCUAGAGUCUGGUAGGGGGAUCUGGAAUUCCUGGUGUAGCGGUGGAAUGCGCAGAUAUCAGGAGGAACACCGGUGGCGAAGGCGGGAUCCUGGGCCAGUACUGACGCUGAGGCGCGAAAGCCAGGGGAGCAAACGGG
RNAcentral lists this ribosomal RNA (253 nucleotides) under uncultured bacterium. RNAcentral describes it as "partial 16S ribosomal RNA". It matches the Rfam family "Bacterial small subunit ribosomal RNA", at positions 524 to 776 of the family's 1533-position model. The record is from RNAcentral.